This 394-nucleotide ribosomal RNA is filed under the name uncultured bacterium. RNAcentral's name for it is "bacterial SSU rRNA". It matches the Rfam family "Bacterial small subunit ribosomal RNA", at positions 505 to 898 of the family's 1533-position model. The record is from RNAcentral.
GUGUCAGCCGCCGCGGUAAUACGUAGGGAGCAAGCGUUGUCCGGAUUUACUGGGUGUAAAGGGUGCGUAGGCGGCAAAGCAAGUCAGGUGUGAAAUGUAUGGGCUUAACCCAUGAACUGCACUUGAAACUGUUUAGCUUGAGUGAAGUAGAGGCAGGCGGAAUUCCCGGUGUAGCGGUGAAAUGCGUAGAGAUCGGGAGGAACACCAGUGGCGAAGGCGGCCUGCUGGGCUUUAACUGACGCUGAGGCACGAAAGCAUGGGUAGCAAACAGGAUUAGAUACCCUGGUAGUCCAUGCUGUAAACGAUGAUUACUAGGUGUGGGUGGACUGACCCCAUCCGUGCCGGAGUUAACACAAUAAGUAAUCCACCUGGGAAGUACGACCGCAAGGUUGAA